Molecule: ribosomal RNA, 906 nt
Filed under: uncultured bacterium
Lineage: Bacteria
Description: bacterial SSU rRNA
Rfam family: Bacterial small subunit ribosomal RNA
Source: RNAcentral
AGUUUGAUCCUGGCUCAGGAUGAACGCUGGCGGCGUGCCUAAUACAUGCAAGUCGAACGAAUCUCUUCGGAGAUGAGUGGCGAACGGGUGAGUAAUACAUAGGUAACCUGCCCCUGUGCGGGGGAUAACAGGAGGAAACUCCUGCUAAUACCGCAUAGCCAUGAGCACCGCAUGGAGCUCAUGCCAAAUAUCCUUUCGGGGAUAGCGCAGGGAUGGACCUAUGGCGCAUUAGCUUGUUGGCGGGGCAACGGCCCACCAAGGCAACGAUGCGUAGCCGGCCUGAGAGGGCGGACGGCCACAUUGGGACUGAGACACGGCCCAGACUCCUACGGGAGGCAGCAGUAGGGAAUUUUCGGCAAUGGGGGAAACCCUGACCGAGCAACGCCGCGUGAGCGAAGAAGGCCUUCGGGUCGUAAAGCUCUGUUGUAAAGGAAGAACGGCGCAUACAGGAAAUGGUAUGCGAGUGACGGUACUUUACCAGAAAGCCACGGCUAACUACGUGCCAGCAGCCGCGGUAAUACGUAGGUGGCGAGCGUUAUCCGGAAUCAUUGGGCGUAAAGAGGGAGCAGGCGGCCGCAAGGGUCUGUGGUGAAAGACCGAAGCUAAACUUCGGUAAGCCAUGGAAACCGGGCGGCUAGAGUGCGGAAGGGGAUCGUGGAAUUCCAUGUGUAGCGGUGAAAUGCGUAGAUAUAUGGAGGAACACCAGUGGCGAAGGCGACGGUCUGGGCCGCAACUGACGCUCAUUCCCGAAAGCGUGGGGAGCAAAUAGGAUUAGAUACCCUAGUAGUCCACGCCGUAAACGAUGGUCACUAAGUGUCGGGGGUCAAACCCCGGUGCUGCAGUCAACGCAAUAAGUGACCCGCCUGAGUAGUACGUUCGCAAGAAUGAAACUCAAAGGAAUUGACG